RNAcentral lists this non-coding RNA (77 nucleotides) under unclassified sequences. Its description in RNAcentral is "HTH-XRE RNA". It matches the Rfam family "HTH-XRE RNA". The record is from RNAcentral.
GAUCAGCAAAGCUGGGGAAUGUGUAGACAUUCAUCGGAACUCCCGGCAAAAAGGCUUGCAAAGGUGAUUUCCCUUUC